RNAcentral lists this ribosomal RNA (558 nucleotides) under Eukaryota sp. FA-2014. RNAcentral's name for it is "SSU rRNA". It matches the Rfam family "Eukaryotic small subunit ribosomal RNA", at positions 21 to 549 of the family's 1831-position model. The record is from RNAcentral.
UAGUCAUAUGCUUGUCUCAAAGAUUAAGCCAUGCAUGUCUAAGUAUAAGUGAUUAUACUGCGAAACUGCGGAUGGCUCAUUAUAUCAGUUACAAUCUACUCGAUUGAAACUUUACUUGGAUAACUGUAGGAAUUCUAGAGCUAAUACAUGCGAAAAAUUCGGACCGGGGGCAACUCUGGGAAGAAUGCGUUUACUAGUCGAGAAGCCAAGAUGGGGCAUUCAACUUCGGGUCAAACCGAGGGUUCCAUAAAAAAGAUGAAUCAUAGUAAGUUUCACGCGAAUCGAGGGCUUAGGCCUUUGAUGAUGCAAACGAGUUUCUGCCCUAUCAACUUUCAACCGCAGUGUAGGGGACUACGAUGGUUGUAACGGGUACGGGGAAUUAGGGUUCGAUUCCGGAGAGGCAGCCUGAGAAACGGCUACCACUUCCAAGGAAGGCAGCAGGCGCGUAAAUUAUCCAAUCCCAAUUCGGGGAGAUAGUGACAAGAAAUACUGAUGUAGGGCCUUUUGGGUUCUACUAUCGGAAUGAGUACAAUUUAAAACCAUUAGCGAGGAACAAUU